AUAGACGAUAUGGGAAAAGGUACACGAUCAUCGUGUUUAAAAGGGAAGCCCGGUGCAAAACCGGCACGGUCCCGCCACUGUGAACUGGCCGUUUUUUGCAAACAUCCACUAUCUGCCAAGAUGGGAAGGAGCGAAAAGCUAUGGUCAUAAGUCAGGAGACCUGCCUUUUCCAGCGACACUGC
RNAcentral lists this non-coding RNA (182 nucleotides) under Bacillus sp. (in: firmicutes). The record is from RNAcentral. RNAcentral also lists the same sequence under 1 other name. Lineage: Bacteria; Bacillati; Bacillota; Bacilli; Caryophanales; Bacillaceae.